UCAGGGUUAUGGGGAGAAAGCUGGCUGGGGGACAACAAUCUGACAGCUGAUUGUACUGAGGAUCUGGCCGACGCUCUCAGUACAAGCUGCUCUCUGACGCAGCUGAUCCUGAAUAAGAAUAAUCUGGGAGAUUGUGGAGUGAAGCGACUGUGUGAGGCUCUGAGAAACCCGGAGGGUAAAAUAGAGAGCCUGGAGCUGUACAGUAACAAUCUGACAGCUGAUUGU
Molecule: long non-coding RNA, 225 nt
Organism: Callorhinchus milii (elephant shark)
Lineage: Eukaryota; Metazoa; Chordata; Chondrichthyes; Chimaeriformes; Callorhinchidae
Exons: 3
Source: RefSeq, a predicted model, not a curated record